ACGGUACAACGAGUCGCAAGACCACGAGGUUUAGCAAAUCUCUUAAAGCCGUUCUCAGUUCGGAUUGUAGGCUGCAACUCGCCUACAUGAAGUCGGAAUCGCUAGUAAUCGCGGAUCAGCAUGCCGCGGUGAAUACGUUCCCGGGCCUUGUACACACCGCCCGUCACACCAUGAGAGUUUGUAACACCCAAAGCCGGUGGGGUGACCUUUUGGAGCCGGCCGUCUAAGGUGGGACAGAUGAUUGGGGUGAAGUCGUAACAAGGUAUC
Molecule: ribosomal RNA, 267 nt
Filed under: uncultured bacterium
Lineage: Bacteria
Description: partial 16S ribosomal RNA
Rfam family: Bacterial small subunit ribosomal RNA
Source: RNAcentral